Molecule: long non-coding RNA, 1979 nt
Organism: Fukomys damarensis (Damara mole-rat)
Lineage: Eukaryota; Metazoa; Chordata; Mammalia; Rodentia; Bathyergidae
Exons: 3
Source: RefSeq, a predicted model, not a curated record
AACGGGCCUGGACACGGGGACAGAACAGCCAGGACAUCACAUAAAAGACACAUGGAGACUUGCCCCUAAUCUGCCUAAAUACAAGAGAAUUUGGGUCUCCGUGUCCAGCGUCUGACACGGAUCCCGGAGCUGCCCCAUGGACCUGUCAUACUGGAAUCACCAUCUUACUGAAAUAAGGUGCGGUUCACCCCGGAGCUCAGAGAAGAGGAUGGUGGCAAGAGAAACUCAGGUCUCUCUGAAACCAGACAGACCUGAGUUCGAAUCCUAGCUCUGCCAUGCGCACAUUGGUAACAGGUGACCUUAUCACCCCCACUUCAUAGAUGGGAAGGCCACAGCUCAGGAGGUGCAGAAGCGCAGGUGACAGAACUUAAACUCAGGCCUUCUGGGUGCAUAAAACUCCGUGAGUACUCGCUACACAGCACCGGUGCAGUCACACUGAACUGAACACAGCUGGAAUGUGAGGGGACUCAAAAGGUGAACCCCCAGUUCCUCUCCUGAAUUUAGAGUCCACUCUGAGAUGUGUGCAUGGGGCACUGGAUGGCAAGCAGAAGGCCGGGUCUAUCCAUUCAAUCCGCAAAGAUCUGUGGAACAUCUACUACUGUAUGUGGCAGUGCCCUGCACUAGCACUAAAAAUUGCAGUGAAAAAAGCAGACAAAACCCUCGUCACAUUGACUGGUCAUUCUAGUGGGGGAGACACAAUAAACGAGAUGAAUGAAAUAAGCCAUGUGUGAAGAGGAAGUCCUCAAAAGCGAAGCAAAGCAGGAAGAGGAAAUACAAAGUGUUGGAAGGGCUUGCGAUCUUAAGAACUUGUGAUACCACCUAAGACCUGACAUGAGUAAGUACGGCUAUGCCCUCCAUUGAAGGAACAGCACAUACAAGGGCCCUGAGGCAGGAUCAUCCCUGGGUAUCCAGAAUAGGUAUAGCCAGUUAAAGGGAGUGGGAAAUAUUGGAGUCAGAUUGGACCCAUCCAAUUUAAAUUGGCCCUAGAGAGGACCAGGACUCAGAUCUGAGAGUUCCUUGGGGCUCAGCAACCAUGACUUAUAAUCGGGUGAGGCGGGAAGCGAGGGAGGUGACGUGGUGUUACAAAGAAAGCUGCCUGGAAGAGGUGGAUUUAGCCAACAGGCUUUCAGGGACCCCACCCUUGGCUUAGACAUAUCCAGUUUCUGCCAAUGCCGGGCAACCACAGACCUCCCAGAGCGGCAAGCCUCAGAGGCUACCAGGAAUCAGAGAACCACCCAGGACACAGCUCCUUUCCAGACAUCCUGAGCUAAUAGCAGAGGCUGUGUCCAGAAGGGGUCAAGCUGAGCAUGCUCAGUGCCUCUGCGCAUCAGGUCCUGGACAGGAUCAGGGAGAGACCUGGGUAUUGCUGUUGCCCUGGUUGGCACCGUUUUUCAUCACUCACUGCAAAUGAGUUUGGUUAUAAAAGGCAGGAAACGUGUCUGGCUGGGCAUGUGAUGGGGAAAAUGUUUGUCUCGGGCUAGACGUGUGCGGGCUUUGAUUCUUGACUGUGCCUGUGCCAUCAGCAAGGCUCUCAACAGAUAAGUAACCCUUGUGUCUGUGGAGUGUACAUUCUGCGCUUUCCACUGGGACAAGCGGGAAACUGAAGCCCUCACUCUCAAAGAAAAGUGACGGAGGCAAGAUCUGAACCCAGACCCACCUCACUCCACAGCCAGGGGAUCUCCCCUAUCCCCACCCAGAAACCCGGGGUAGCAUCAGUCUCUCAGCUCAGCCUGCUGCAUCCCCUGUACUUGGAAUUGUGUGGGGAAAUUUGCCAGAUGGAAGGUGUGUAGUAUUACCAGAUAAUAAGGCGUGUACAUUCUAUCACAAUAAAAGUAUAAAUACAAUAGUCAUAAUGAUAGUGGGAGAGUUGACUACACGCCAGGCCCUGAGCCAAGCCUGCGCAUCUCGGGCCUGACACCUGGGGCACCAUCUCCCCUCCUGUCCAAGUUUAAAAUCUGCAACUCUCAGUUAUUUCUCAG